GGGGCAGUGCGGCGGUGCUAUACAUGCAGUCGUACGCAGUUUCUUCACCGAGUGCUUGCACUCACCGAAGAAACUGAGUGGCGAACGGGUGAGUAACACGUGGGUAACCUGCCCAAAAGAGGGGGAUAACACUUGGAAACAGGUGCUAAUACCGCAUAACAACAAAAACCGCCUGGUUUUUGUUUAAAAGAUGGUUUCGGCUAUCACUUUUGGAUGGACCCGCGGCGUAUUAGCUAGUUGGUAAGGUAAUGGCUUACCAAGGCAGUGAUACGUAGCCGAACUGAGAGGUUGAUCGGCCACAUUGGGACUGAGACACGGCCCAAACUCCUACGGGAGGCAGCAGUAGGGAAUCUUCCACAAUGGACGCAAGUCUGAUGGAGCAACGCCGCGUGAGUGAAGAAGGUUUUCGGAUCGUAAAACUCUGUUGUUAGAGAAGAACGUGUGUGAGAGUAACUGUUCAUGCAGUGACGGUAUCUAACCAGAAAGCCACGGCUAACUACGUGCCAGCAGCCGCGGUAAUACGUAGGUGGCAAGCGUUGUCCGGAUUUAUUGGGCGUAAAGGGAACGCAGGCGGUCUUUUAAGUCUGAUGUGAAAGCCUUCGGCUUAACCGAAGUCGUGCAUUGGAAACUGGGAGACUUGAGUGCAGAAGAGGAGAGUGGAACUCCAUGUGUAGCGGUGAAAUGCGUAGAUAUAUGGAAGAACACCAGUGGCGAAAGCGGCUCUCUGGUCUGUAACUGACGCUGAGGUUCGAAAGCGUGGGUAGCAAACAGGAUUAGAUACCCUGGUAGUCCACGCUGUAAACGAUGAAUGCUAAGUGUUGGGAGGGUUUCCGCCCUUCCUGGCUGCCGCUUCCGCCUUUGGGAUAGGGGGGGGG
This 875-nucleotide ribosomal RNA is filed under the name Liquorilactobacillus satsumensis. RNAcentral's name for it is "bacterial SSU rRNA". It matches the Rfam family "Bacterial small subunit ribosomal RNA", at positions 26 to 873 of the family's 1533-position model. The record is from RNAcentral. Lineage: Bacteria; Bacillati; Bacillota; Bacilli; Lactobacillales; Lactobacillaceae.